CCUACGGGAGGCAGCAGUGGGGGAUAUUGCACAAUGGGGGGAACCCUGAUGCAGCGACGCCGCGUGGGUGAAGAAGCGCCUCGGCGCGUAAAGCCCUGUCAGCAGGGAAGAAAAUGACGGUACCUGAAGAAGAAGCCCCGGCUAACUACGGGCCAGCAGCCGCGGUAAUACGUAGGGGGCGAGCGUUAUCCGGAUUUACUGGGUGUAAAGGGGGCGCAGGCGGGGAUGCAAGCCAGGCGUGAAAGCCCGGGGCCCAACCCCGGGACUGCUGUUGGAACUGCGUGGCUGGAGUGGAGGAGGGGCAGGCGGAAUUCCUGGUGUAGCGGUGAAAUGCGUAGAUAUCAGGCGGAACACCGGUGGCGAAGGCGGCCUGCUGGACUGCAACUGACGUUGAGGCCCGAAAGCGUGGGGAGCAAACAGGAUUAGAUACCCGAGUAGUC
This 440-nucleotide ribosomal RNA is filed under the name uncultured bacterium. RNAcentral describes it as "partial 16S ribosomal RNA". It matches the Rfam family "Bacterial small subunit ribosomal RNA", at positions 338 to 795 of the family's 1533-position model. The record is from RNAcentral.